This 403-nucleotide ribosomal RNA is filed under the name uncultured bacterium. Its description in RNAcentral is "partial 16S ribosomal RNA". It matches the Rfam family "Bacterial small subunit ribosomal RNA", at positions 28 to 526 of the family's 1533-position model. The record is from RNAcentral.
GACGAACGCUGGCGGCGUGCCUAAUACAUGCAAGUCGAACGCAGUGGGGACGGGUGAGUAACACGUGGGUAACCUCCAAUCAGAGGGGAUAACACUUGGAAACAGGUGCUAAACCGCUACUGAUGGAUGGACCCGGGGGGCAUUAGCUAGUGGGUGGGGUAACGGCCCACCAAGGCCACGAAGCAUAGCCGUCCUGAUGGGUGGAUCUGCCACACUGGAACUGCGACACGGCCCAGACUCCUACGGGAGGCAGCAGUGGGGAAUCUUCGGCAAUGGACGAAAUUCUGACCGAGCUACGCCGCGUGAGUGAAGAAGGUUUUCGGAUCGUAAAACUCUUUUGUUAGCGAAGCGUUAUCUAACCAGAAAGCCCCGGCUAACUACGUGCCAGCAGCCGCGGUAAUUC